Molecule: ribosomal RNA, 465 nt
Filed under: Vreelandella stevensii
Lineage: Bacteria; Pseudomonadati; Pseudomonadota; Gammaproteobacteria; Oceanospirillales; Halomonadaceae
Description: partial 16S ribosomal RNA
Rfam family: Bacterial small subunit ribosomal RNA
Source: RNAcentral
CCUACGGGUGGCUUCAGUGGGGAAUAUUGGACAAUGGGGGCAACCCUGAUCCAGCCAUGCCGCGUGUGUGAAGAAGGCCCUCGGGUUGUAAAGCACUUUCAGUGAGGAAGAACGCCUGGUGGUUAAUACCCAUCAGGAAAGACAUCACUCACAGAAGAAGCACCGGCUAACUCCGUGCCAGCAGCCGCGGUAAUACGGAGGGUGCGAGCGUUAAUCGGAAUUACUGGGCGUAAAGCGCGCGUAGGUGGCUUGAUAAGCCGGUUGUGAAAGCCCCGGGCUCAACCUGGGAACGGCAUCCGGAACUGUCAAGCUAGAGUGCAGGAGAGGAAGGUAGAAUUCCCGGUGUAGCGGUGAAAUGUGUAGAGAUCGGGAGGAAUACCAGUGGCGAAGGCGGCCUUCUGGACUGACACUGACACUGAGGUGCGAAAGCGUGGGUAGCAAACAGGAUUAGAUACCCCGGUAGUC